RNAcentral lists this ribosomal RNA (333 nucleotides) under Neogloboquadrina pachyderma. RNAcentral describes it as "bacterial SSU rRNA". It matches the Rfam family "Eukaryotic small subunit ribosomal RNA", at positions 1187 to 1445 of the family's 1831-position model. Lineage: Eukaryota; Foraminifera; Rotaliida; Globorotaliidae. The record is from RNAcentral.
GGCUUAAUUUGACUCAACGCGGGAAAUCUUACCGGGUCCGGACACACUGAGGAUUGACAGGCAUUAUCUCAUGUUAACGGUAAGUUUACUUACCGCUUAACAUCGAGUGUUAAAUAUGCUAGUCCUUUCAUGAUUAUGUGAUAGGUGGUGCAUGGCCGUUCUUAGUUCGUGGAGUGAUCUGUCUGCUUAAUUGCGUUUCACUAAGGGCCCAUAAAUUCAAGGUAUGUUAGCUCUCGUCGCUCUAUGGACCCCUUAACUCCAAUAUUCUUAUUGUGUUAAGCGCGUGUCUUUAUUUUAAGAGUUUUAAGACACUGCGCAUGCUGUUGGGCUCUG